GAUGAACGCUGGCGGCGUGCCUAAUACAUGCCAGUCGAGCGAACAGACGAGGAGCUUGCUCCUCUGACGUUAGCGGCGGACGGGUGAGUAACACGUGGAUAACCUACCUAUAAGACUGGGAUAACUUCGGGAAACCGGAGCUAAUACCGGAUGAUAUAUUGAACCGCAUGGUUCAAUAGUGAAAGACGGUUUUGCUGUCACUUAUAGAUGGAUCCGCGCCGCAUUAGCUAGUUGGUAAGGUAACGGCUUACCAAGGCAACGAUGCGUAGCCGACCUGAGAGGGUGAUCGGCCACACUGGAACUGAGACACGGUCCAGACUCCUACGGGAGGCAGCAGUAGGGAAUCUUCCGCAAUGGGCGAAAGCCUGACGGAGCAACGCCGCGUGAGUGAUGAAGGUCUUCGGAUCGUAAAACUCUGUUAUUAGGGAAGAACAAAUGUGUAAGUAACUAUGCACGUCUUGACGGUACCUAAUCAGAAAGCCACGGCUAACUACGUG
Molecule: ribosomal RNA, 497 nt
Filed under: uncultured bacterium
Lineage: Bacteria
Description: partial 16S ribosomal RNA
Rfam family: Bacterial small subunit ribosomal RNA
Source: RNAcentral